UACGUAGGGCGCAAGCGUUGUCCGGAAUUAUUGGGCGUAAAGAGCUCGUAGGCGGUUUGUCACGUCGGGUGUGAAAGCCCGGGGCUUAACCCCGGGUCUGCAUUCGAUACGGGCAGACUGGAGUGUGGUAGGGGAGAUCGGAAUUCCUGGUGUAGCGGUGAAAUGCGCAGAUAUCAGGAGGAACACCGGUGGCGAAGGCGGUUCUCUGGGACGGUACUGACGCUGAGACGCGAAAGCGUGGGGAGCGAACAGG
This 253-nucleotide ribosomal RNA is filed under the name uncultured bacterium. RNAcentral describes it as "partial 16S ribosomal RNA". It matches the Rfam family "Bacterial small subunit ribosomal RNA", at positions 524 to 776 of the family's 1533-position model. The record is from RNAcentral.